CACCUAUAUGCGGAUUAGCAAGUAGAUUACAUAUGCACGAACCCUGGGAAGAGCUAGUAGCUGAGAAAUAACGAGGAGCAGAAAAGGAAAAGCCGCGAGCGAGAGCCUUAGCACAAGAGCUUGUGGGAUUGACAUUGUUUCCUGAAAGUCCGUUGAGAAUCUUAGGCUGGCACAAUGAAUCAACAGGACUGCCUAGACUAUGAGCGUAACGGGAGAUUGUGGGAGCACGAGAUAGCGGAGCAAAAUUUGGAGCUGCUUUGGAUGUUUUAAUGGCUGCCAAAGCGGACUUCGCUAACCUUCUUGAGGCCAUUGUCGGAAGGAAAUGGCAAUUUCUUGAGGGUUUUUUUUUUCUAAUCGCCUGUGCUUUGGCUUCACAGUUAAGGGAUGGAAAAAGGAAAUAGCGGGGGUCUUGGAAGCUUGGAGAAGAGGCAAAGGAAAACUGUAGAAGGUUUUGGAAGUCAAAGGAGGAUAAUUUUGGUUCGAAUUUGUAUUUGUAUGAAAUAGAAAUGGCAGUUAAAUCAAACAGCGGAAAUGUGAAAAUCUUCGAAGAAGAUGGUUAAUUUUUAAUUUUAAUU
RNAcentral lists this long non-coding RNA (575 nucleotides) under Carica papaya (papaya). RNAcentral describes it as "long non-coding RNA (CPAP_LNC000225)". The record is from RNAcentral. Lineage: Eukaryota; Viridiplantae; Streptophyta; Magnoliopsida; Brassicales; Caricaceae.